RNAcentral lists this transfer RNA (66 nucleotides) under Puerulus angulatus. Its description in RNAcentral is "tRNA-Cys". It matches the Rfam family "tRNA". From Rfam's summary of the family: Transfer RNA (tRNA) molecules are approximately 80 nucleotides in length. The record is from RNAcentral. Lineage: Eukaryota; Metazoa; Arthropoda; Malacostraca; Decapoda; Palinuridae.
GGCUCGAUAGUUUAAUUUAAGACACUAGAUUGCAAAUCUGGAGAUGUAGAUGAUAUACUUGAGCUU